Molecule: unclassified non-coding RNA, 354 nt
Filed under: soil metagenome
Description: partial contains 5.8S ribosomal RNA, internal transcribed spacer 2, and large subunit ribosomal RNA
Rfam family: 5.8S ribosomal RNA (bases 1-120)
Source: RNAcentral
GAUGAAGAACGUAGUGAAAUGCGAUAAGUAAUGUGAAUUGCAGAAUUCAGUGAAUCAUCGAAUCUUUGAACGCACAUUGCGCCCGCCAGUAUUCUGGCGGGCAUGCCUGUCCGAGCGUCAUUUCAACCCUCGAACCCCUCCGGGGGGUCGGCGUUGGGGAUCGGCCCUGCCUCUUGGCGGUGGCCGUCUCCGAAAUACAGUGGCGAUCUCGCCGCAGCCUCUCCUGCGCAGUAGUUUGCACACUCGCAUCGGGAGCGCGGCGCGUCCACAGCCGUUAAACACCCAACUUCUGAAAUGUUGACCUCGGAUCAGGUAGGAAUACCCGCUGAACUUAAGCAUAUCAAAAGCGGAGGA